AGUUUGAUUCCUGGCUCAGAUUGAACGCUGGCGGCAUGCCUAACACAUGCAAGUCGAACGGUAACAGGUCUUCGGAUGCUGACGAGUGGCGGACGGGUGAGUAAUGCGUAGGAAUCUGUCUUUUAGUGGGGGACAACCCAGGGAAACUUGGGCUAAUACCGCAUGAGCCCUGAGGGGGAAAGCGGGGGAUCUUCGGACCUCGCGCUAAGAGAGGAGCCAUCGUCCGAUCAGCUAGUUGGCGGGGUAAAGGCCCACCGAGGCGACGAUCGGUAGCUGGUCUGAGAGGACGCCAGCCACACUGGGACUGAGACACGGCCCAGACUCCUACGGGAGGCAGCAGUGGGGAAUUUUUCGCAAUGGGGGCAACCCUGACGAAGCAAUGCCGCGUGGAUGAAGAAGGCCUUCGGGUUGUAAAGUCCUUUCGUGGAGGACGAAAAGGUGGGUUCUAAUACAAUCUGCCAUUGACGUGAAUCCAAGAAGAAGCACCGCCUAACUCCGUGCCAGCAGCCGCGGUAAUACGGGGGGUGCAAGCGUUAAUCGGAAUCACUGGGCGUAAAGGGUGCGUAGGCGGUACGUUAGGUCUGUCGUGAAAUCCCCGGGCUCCACCUGGGAAUGGCGUGUGAAACCGGUGUACAUGAGUAUGGGAGAGGGUGGUGGAAUUCCAGGUGUAGCGGUGAAAUGCGUAGAGAUCUGGAGGAACAUCAGUGGCGAAGGCGGACCACCUGGCCCAAUACUGACGCUGAGGCACGGAGCCGGGGUGGG
RNAcentral lists this ribosomal RNA (762 nucleotides) under Acidithiobacillus ferrooxidans. Its description in RNAcentral is "bacterial SSU rRNA". It matches the Rfam family "Bacterial small subunit ribosomal RNA", at positions 10 to 768 of the family's 1533-position model. The record is from RNAcentral. Lineage: Bacteria; Pseudomonadati; Pseudomonadota; Acidithiobacillia; Acidithiobacillales; Acidithiobacillaceae.